This 492-nucleotide ribosomal RNA is filed under the name uncultured bacterium. RNAcentral's name for it is "partial 16S ribosomal RNA". It matches the Rfam family "Bacterial small subunit ribosomal RNA", at positions 29 to 507 of the family's 1533-position model. The record is from RNAcentral.
AGUGAACGCUGGCGGUAGGCCUAACACAUGCAAGUCGAACGGCAGCACAGUAAGAGCUUGCUCUUACGGGUGGCGAGUGGCGGACGGGUGAGGAAUACAUCGGAAUCUACUUUUUCGUGGGGGAUAACGUAGGGAAACUUACGCUAAUACCGCAUACGACCUACGGGUGAAAGCAGGGGAUCUUCGGACCUUGCGCGAUUGAAUGAGCCGAUGUCGGAUUAGCUAGUUGGCGGGGUAAAGGCCCACCAAGGCGACGAUCCGUAGCUGGUCUGAGAGGAUGAUCAGCCGCACUGGAACUGAGACACGGUCCAGACUCCUACGGGAGGCAGCAGUGGGGAAUAUUGGACAAUGGGCGCAAGCCUGAUCCAGCCAUACCGCGUGGGUGAAGAAGGCCUUCGGGUUGUAAAGCCCUUUUGUUGGGAAAGAAAAGCAGCAGGUUAAUACCCCGCUGUUCUGACGGAACCCAAAGAAUAAGCACCGGCUAACUUCGUG